RNAcentral lists this ribosomal RNA (491 nucleotides) under uncultured bacterium. RNAcentral describes it as "partial 16S ribosomal RNA". It matches the Rfam family "Bacterial small subunit ribosomal RNA", at positions 29 to 507 of the family's 1533-position model. The record is from RNAcentral.
AUGCACGCUAGCUACAGGCUUAACACAUGCCAGUCGCGGGGAAACGGCAUCGAAAGCUUGCUUUUGAUGGGCGUCGACCGGCGCACGGGUGAGUAACGCGUAUCCAACCUGCCCAUCACUUGGGAAUAACCUUGCGAAAGUAAGACUAAUGCCCAAUGACAUCCCACGAAGGCAUCCGAAUGGGAUUAAAGAUUUAUCGGUGAUGGAUGGGGAUGCGUCUGAUUAGCUUGUUGGCGGGGUGACGGCCCACCAAGGCAACGAUCAGUAGGGGUUCUGAGAGGAAGGUCCCCCACAUUGGAACUGAGACACGGUCCAAACUCCUACGGGAGGCAGCAGUGAGGAAUAUUGGUCAAUGGGCGAGAGCCUGAACCAGCCAAGUAGCGUGCAGGAUGACGGCCCUAUGGGUUGUAAACUGCUUUUAUAAGGGAAUAAAGUGGGUCACGUGUGACUUUUUGCAUGUACCUGAUGAAUAAGGACCGGCUAAUUCCGUG